Molecule: ribosomal RNA, 1768 nt
Filed under: Escherichia coli
Lineage: Bacteria; Pseudomonadati; Pseudomonadota; Gammaproteobacteria; Enterobacterales; Enterobacteriaceae
Description: partial 23S ribosomal RNA
Rfam family: Bacterial large subunit ribosomal RNA
Source: RNAcentral
GGCGGGACACGUGGUAUCCUGUCUGAAUAUGGGGGGACCAUCCUCCAAGGCUAAAUACUCCUGACUGACCGAUAGUGAACCAGUACCGUGAGGGAAAGGCGAAAAGAACCCCGGCGAGGGGAGUGAAAAAGAACCUGAAACCGUGUACGUACAAGCAGUGGGAGCACAGAGCAAUCUGUGUGACUGCGUACCUUUUGUAUAAUGGGUCAGCGACUUAUAUUCUGUAGCAAGGUUAACCGAAUAGGGGAGCCGAAGGGAAACCGAGUCUUAACUGGGCGUUAAGUUGCAGGGUAUAGACCCGAAACCCGGUGAUCUAGCCAUGGGCAGGUUGAAGGUUGGGUAACACUAACUGGAGGACCGAACCGACUAAUGUUGAAAAAUUAGCGGAUGACUUGUGGCUGGGGGUGAAAGGCCAAUCAAACCGGGAGAUAGCUGGUUCUCCCCGAAAGCUAUUUAGGUAGCGCCUCGUGAAUUCAUCUCCGGGGGUAGAGCACUGUUUCGGCAAGGGGGUCAUCCCGACUUACCAACCCGAUGCAAACUGCGAAUACCGGAGAAUGUUAUCACGGGAGACACACGGCGGGUGCUAACGUCCGUCGUGAAGAGGGAAACAACCCAGACCGCCAGCUAAGGUCCCAAAGUCAUGGUUAAGUGGGAAACGAUGUGGGAAGGCCCAGACAGCCAGGAUGUUGGCUUAGAAGCAGCCAUCAUUUAAAGAAAGCGUAAUAGCUCACUGGUCGAGUCGGCCUGCGCGGAAGAUGUAACGGGGCUAAACCAUGCACCGAAGCUGCGGCAGCGACGCUGAUGCGUUGUUGGGUAGGGGAGCGUUCUGUAAGCCUGUGAAGGUGUGCUGUGAGGCAUGCUGGAGGUAUCAGAAGUGCGAAUGCUGACAUAAGUAACGAUAAAGCGGGUGAAAAGCCCGCUCGCCGGAAGACCAAGGGUUCCUGUCCAACGUUAAUCGGGGCAGGGUGAGUCGACCCCUAAGGCGAGGCCGAAAGGCGUAGUCGAUGGGAAACAGGUUAAUAUUCCUGUACUUGGUGUUACUGCGAAGGGGGGACGGAGAAGGCUAUGUUGGCCGGGCGACGGUUGUCCCGGUUUAAGCGUGUAGGCUGGUUUUCCAGGCAAAUCCGGAAAAUCAAGGCUGAGGCGUGAUGACGAGGCACUACGGUGCUGAAGCAACAAAUGCCCUGCUUCCAGGAAAAGCCUCUAAGCAUCAGGUAACAUCAAAUCGUACCCCAAACCGACACAGGUGGUCAGGUAGAGAAUACCAAGGCGCUUGAGAGAACUCGGGUGAAGGAACUAGGCAAAAUGGUGCCGUAACUUCGGGAGAAGGCACGCUGAUAUGUAGGUGAAGUCCCUCGCGGAUGGAGCUGAAAUCAGUCGAAGAUACCAGCUGGCUGCAACUGUUUAUUAAAAACACAGCACUGUGCAAACACGAAAGUGGACGUAUACGGUGUGACGCCUGCCCGGUGCCGGAAGGUUAAUUGAUGGGGUCAGCGCAAGCGAAGCUCUUGAUCGAAGCCCCGGUAAACGGCGGCCGUAACUAUAACGGUCCUAAGGUAGCGAAAUUCCUUGUCGGGUAAGUUCCGACCUGCACGAAUGGCGUAAUGAUGGCCAGGCUGUCUCCACCCGAGACUCAGUGAAAUUGAACUCGCUGUGAAGAUGCAGUGUACCCGCGGCAAGACGGAAAGACCCCGUGAACCUUUACUAUAGCUUGACACUGAACAUUGAGCCUUGAUGUGUAGGAUAGGUGGGAGGCUUUGAAGUGUGG